CAACUUCCUCAUUUCCUCUAGUUCACUGCACUGUCCUCCAGCCGUAGAUGGAGCGACUCUUGUUUCAUCUUCUGACUCCUCUACUGAAUCUGCCGCUAAGCUCAGUGGCUGUGCUGUUUCUCCUCUCAAAACUGCUCACUCCUUUCUAGUCUACCAAGUUAACUUUAUAUUGGCAAGUGCAGAUUCGCUAAAAACAGCAUGGGAGGUACCUAUGAAGAACUCAUACUCGUGAGGGAGAGGAAGACUGACGACUGUCCUAAUGCACUUUGUCACCCGGAGUUCAAAACACAAGGACUGGUCGUGGAUCUGUCUUUGCUGCAAUGACCUGGGGCUACAUUUCUGGAAGUGUUCUCAACCUAGAACUUCUGUGAAGACAACCAUGAGACAGACAUUAUUUCAGGACAUGAAGAAUCCCAGAACGUAAUAAAGGGUCUGUUUCAGGAGGAAGCCACGAGCUUUUUUAUUCACAAAAAGAGAGAGGAGGCAGAAGUGACUUCAGAGUGCACAUGGAGAGGACAGAGACAAGGACCCAGGACGUACAACUGGACGACAGUCAGCUGACAAAGAUGUCCUUGGACUAUGAUCCUCUGGAUCAGUUGUGAAAAGCCUUUGAUAACACUCUCCAAAUCUCUACAUUUCAGCGUUAUCUGCUUCCAGGACAGGAGACAUUCAGAACAAUGAAGUUUGUACACAUUACUUCAGUUCUCUGAAGAGGACCUUGCUCCUGGAACACCAAUCUGUAGUUCUCUUCUCGGCUCUGCUUCGGAUUUGGAAAUCACAAACGUAUGCUUUCCAACGGAAAAGAAGCCUGACUGAUAAACUUUGAGGACUGACAACAUAUGUGUCCACCCCUGCCUCUGACAGGCAUCCAGUGAUGUUACCCAAUUCCAGAAGAAACUAGAAUAACCGUC
Mus musculus (house mouse) is the source of this 911-nucleotide long non-coding RNA. RefSeq annotates it as predicted gene, 35996. The record is from RefSeq and is a predicted model, not a curated record. NCBI's taxonomy places the organism in Eukaryota, Metazoa, Chordata, Mammalia, Rodentia, Muridae. The transcript is spliced from 5 exons.